UGUACUGCAAGGCGCUUCUGCGCUUCCGCUCCGCAUCGCCAUUUCCCCGCCCCCCACACCCAUCUCUCGUCUCCCUCGCCGCCGCCUCUUCGUCGGCAUACGGCGAUCGCCGUGAACUACCCUCGCUCCCUCCCACGUCCGCCGUCACUAUCAUCACUCCUCGCCUCCUCUCUCGCCCUCCGCCGCUGCCUAGGGUUUCGUGUGUUCGCUGGCUGGUUUGGAUUCAGGGGGUAGGGUUUGGCUCCCCUGAGAAAGGAUAUGGUGCCGAACGGGCUGCUGCCCAAUGUGGCGGUGGGGGUGACGCGGCGCCUGGACGCCGAGCGUUGGGCCGUCGCGGAGGAGCGCACUGCCGAGCUGAUCGCGCGCAUCCAGCCCACUCCUUGGUCUGAGGAUCGCCGCCGGGCCGCCGCCGGUUAUGUCCAGCGGCUUAUUAUGGGGUGCCUUUCCUGUCAGGUUUUUACUUUUGGGUCAUUCCCGCUCAAGACUUAUUUACCCGAUGGUGAUAUUGAUGUCACAGCUUUCAGUAACAGUGAAGAAUUAAAGGAUACAUGGGCAGUUAUGGUUCAGGAUGCAUUGGAACAUGAGGAGAAAAGUGAGAAGGCUGAAUUUCGAGUGAGAGAAGUACAGUAUAUUCAGGCAGAGGUAAAGAUAAUUAAGUGUCUUGUGGAAAACAUUGUUGUUGACAUCUCUUUCAACCAAGUUGGUGGUUUGUGUACACUUUGUUUCCUUGAAGAGAUGGACCACCUGAUCAGUCAAAACCAUCUGUUCAAGCGAAGUAUCAUACUGAUAAAGGCCUGGUGUUACUAUGAAAGUCGUAUACUUGGAGCUCAUCAUGGUCUUAUAUCGACAUAUGCCCUAGAGACUCUGGUUCUUUACAUUUUUCAUGUCUUCAACAAUUCUUUUGCUGGACCACUUGAGGUAUUGUAUCGGUUCCUAGAAUUCUUUAGUAACUUUGAUUGGGAGAAAUUUUGUGUAAGCUUGUGGGGUCCAGUUCCUAUAAGCUCUCUUCCGGACAUGUCUGCGGAUCCUCCACGAAAGGAUGGUGGCGCUUUAUUGCUCAGCAAGUCCUUCCUAGAUAUUUGCAGUUCUAUAUAUGCAGUUACGCCCAGUCCCCAUAACAACCAGGUUCAGCCAUUUGUUUCGAAGUACUUCAAUGUAAUUGACCCUUUACGAGCAAACAAUAACCUUGGAAGAAGUAUAAGCAAAGGUAACUUCUUUAGAAUACGCAGCGCGUUUGCUUUUGGAGCAAAAAGAUUGGCAAGGAUACUUGAAUGUCCGAAGCAAGACAUAGCCAUUGAAGUGAAACAAUUCUUUACAAAUACAUGGAGAAGGCAUGGUAAUGGUAAUCGUCCUGAUGCACCUGCCCAGAGUCUGAUUCAUCAAACUGUGAAGGUUGUGCCUGUUGAAGUGCCAAGCAGUCACAAAAAUGCAACGGCACACAAGAAAAAGUUUAAAGGCCCUACAACACACAUUGAUGAUGAUGGUCUCACUGAAUACACUCAAAACUAUCAUAACCCUGCCACUCAACUUGUAACGAAAGCAAAUGUACAGUAUCGGGGUUCACCAAGAACAGCUCUUUCUGUUGUUUAUCCUUCUCAGAGCCAGAAAAUUCGUGCAGUGCAAACAAAUGCUGAGGUUGCUGGACAGUUGGAGAAAACCAGCAUUCCUAGUGGAUCAUUGCUGGGCGAAAAGGUUCAAAGAAUAUCAAAGAGUCACUCCACUGUGAAUGAACAGAAUGGACAAAGCAGGUUUCAGUUUGCUAGAACAAAUUCUAGUCCUGACUUAACAGACUCUUCAGUUCAUGGUUUUCCUUCUAGCAGACGUACUAUAGUAUCUGAAGUAGAAAAAUCAUCAAAGGCUGAGUACAGUAGCACAGGAAAUAACAUGAUUCUAGGGGUUUCUAGCAACCAUGGCAGAAAGUCUUCACAGGAAAAGCCAGUGUCUUCCAUGAAUGCUUCAUCUAGCAUAUUAGUAUCAGGUCCAAGUAGUGUUUCCAGCAGCAAUCAUGAAGAUACUUGUUUUGCAACAAAUGAAGAGCUUGCUUCGGUCUCUGAAGCUUCAGAUGUUCUACACAAGGGAAGUCCUAGGGAACAUAAUCUGAUGGAUGGGUUGAAUGGACAGGUUCCUUUGCAAGUGCGAAUACCAUGUCAUCCUUCUCUAGCGCCUCUCCCCCUUGUGGCCUCAUCAGGUUAUCCUCUGAGAAAUCUAGCUGGGAUUUUGCCACCAAAUUUUUCGUUUAUCGGAACUCCAUGGUUACACAACAUGCAGUUUGUUCAUGGAUUUGUUCCACCACCUAUGACCCAGUAUGUUGGUAGAACUGCUUUUGUAUCAAACUCUGAAAAUUGCAUUGAGAGUGAGACAUCUGCUACUACUGGCACAAAUUAUGAUGAUGGAGGUAAUUGGCAUGAACAUGAUGCUGGAUUGUCUGGAAACUAUAAUCGGGAGAGCAUAAACCCUGAAAUUUUUAAUUUUAAGGAUCUUGCCUCUUCUCUACAUGACAUACCUGGUGCCCGUUUGCAAGGACAGAAAAAAUCUGGUAUUGAGGAUAGAGGUGAAACACUAAGAGAAAAUUCUGCUGAUAUUUUUCACAAAGUAUAUGGGGGGACCAGCUUUGGUGUAAUAAGAUUAGUUUCUUCACAAGGAAGCUCUGGACAUACCAUUUCAGACAGCUCAUGUGAUGAAUCAACUGGGGUGAUCCUAACAUCAUCAAGAGGUAAAUGGGGUAAAACACCUUUAGCUAUGACACCUUCCUCUCCCUCACAGUUGCGGAGUACAACAAAGACCAGUUGGCAGUUCGAAAAUAUGACUGAGCGCAUCACAUCAGGACUUGAUGGCAAUAGAAAUAGCUAUGCAUCACAAGCUGUUAACAGUGACUUUUCUGAUGAAACUGCAGGGCCUAGCCCUUCAGCACAAUCAACUUCUAGUCAAGUAUCGGAUGAUCAUAAUCCACUAAAAGUCAACCCGCGCAAUCCUGUGUUCAGGCCAUUUGUUAUGUCCCCUCCUCAGCAGAGACAAGUUGAUAAUUCUGGGUUGACAUUUGUUCCAACAGGUCCACCAGUUCCUUUUGUCGUAUAUCCCUAUAUUCCUGGCACUACUGAUAGUUCUGCGGCUCAGUUUGAGAGAAGUGAAGGAAAGGAUCAGUUUCCUGUUGACAUGGCAUUCCAAAAUUUUGGUUCACAUGAUGAUGCUGAUCUACCUGAUGCAAAUAUUACAACUCCACCAGGCAGUGUUGUAGCAGAUCAUGAUCACAUGUCUGACAUUUUGAACAGCGAUUUUUUGAGCCAUUGGCAAAAUUUGCAAUAUGGGAGGUUCUGCCAAAAUGCACACCCUCCUGCUCCUGUAUUAUACCCUGUUGCUAUGCCACCUAUGUACUUGCCAGGCCAUUUUCCACUGAAUGGCCCUGCAACACAGCCUGCACAUAGGUUUAAUUGGGCACAAGUAAGGAGCCAUGGUCAAGGGGUAGUUCCUGUGACGCCUCUGCAACCUACUUCUGAAAGAGCAUCUGGUGUUUUCCAGCGCUAUGGAGAAGAUGCGCCAAGAUAUCAUGGUGGCACUGGGACAUACUUGCCAACUCCUAAGGUUCCAUUCAAAGAUAGACAGUCAAGUUCAAGAAACUACAGAGGGAGUUAUAAUAGUGAGCAAGUGGACCAUAAUGAUAAAGAGGGAAACUGGGCAAAUUCAAAACAAAGAAAUAUGGGAUGUAGCUAUGGGCGUGGCCAAUCAGAAAAAUCUGGUGGUAGGCAUGACAGACAGAUAUCUGAUGAAAACCAAUCUGAAAGGCACUGGCAACCUUAUAGAAGUGAUUCAUACAGGAGGGAAGCCGGUGGUUCAUCUAGUGUACAGAGCCAGUCAUUUGAAAAUACAACCUCUACCCACGAUCCUGUAAACAAGGCAUACGGGGUUCCUUCACAAUCUUCUACUGUUGCUAGUGGAACUAGGGCUUCAACAGAACCAGUUAUGGUGUAUUCCUAUGAUCAGUCUGUAGAUUACGGUGCUCCUUGUAAACCAAUCGAAUUCGGUUCAUUUGGGGCUAUCCCUAUGGAUUCUAGUGAGAUACAACAAGCACAUGAAGUACAUACAAAUGGAUUUUAUAAGCAGAGGCAUGCCCUAUACAAAGGUACUUCCUCGCGUUCAUCCCCUGAUCAACCUUCGAUGCCUCACCUACGAAGGAGUUGAUGCCCAGAUUUGCUGUGGUCUAUUUCCUUGAUGCUGACUGGCACAGCACCAUGAGCUCUACUGUCUGGCUGUUGUCCGGAAGUUCAGAUGUACAUCAGUACAUGUACCAUACUUUUAUUCUGAGACUUGAAUUCAUCAGCCCACCAGAUGCAUGUGCUUCAUGUGGCCAAGCUAGGACAAAGCUGGGAUGACCAAUCAGGAAUCGAUCUCAUGUGCUCCCAGCAUCCAAGCUAGCACCAAGAUAGGAUUAUCAUCUUCAUCAAGAAUUGAUCUGAAGAUUAGAAGCACGGAUUACUGGAGCAAGCUAACUGAUGAGGACAUCAACACCAACAAUACAUCCACACCUACAAAAGUACCAGUUUCUGAUCCUAUAACUCGCGCUCGUGCUCGUCAACUUAAUCAUCAAGUAAGUUCACUCUUGAGUUCCUGUCCAUCCUAUUUAGACCAUGGAGAUACGUGCACUCUUAUUUUAAUUAGGAACCAUGGAGAAGACCGAAAGGGAAAUGGACUCGCGCAGGUUGGAUUCGGACUCCAUGACAGUACCAACUUGUGAUGGUCACCAAGGUCGCAUACGGACACGGAUUGGGAUGUUCAAGUACUUCACGGAUUUGUUAUGAAGUCUAUUUUCAUAUGGAUCUGGACUCAAGUCUAUAUCUGGUCUGAGGCGGUCGCAAUGACCAAUUUACUACCGAUAGGUUUUCUGGUGCUGCGUCACCUUAUUUUGGUCCAAUGGGUCAUGUAUGAAGUUGGGUCCAUUAGGGACAUGUCCUAGGGUUGGAGCACGACCCCAACACCCUCCCGGUCGUCCUCCUAGGCAUUAAUAAGAAUUAGAGUUGCCACAAACAGAUUGGGUUUUGUUUAGAUCAAGUUUAGCUCUCGCUACUUCUGUAAGCGCGCGUGUUGGAUCAGCCGCCCUUCUUGCUGUCUUCGGAACCCCACCUUAUUAAGAUUGAGUUGGAAACCUUCAUCUUCAUCUAGUAAAUU
Molecule: RNA transcript, 5160 nt
Organism: Setaria italica (foxtail millet)
Lineage: Eukaryota; Viridiplantae; Streptophyta; Magnoliopsida; Poales; Poaceae
Exons: 10
Source: RefSeq, a predicted model, not a curated record